CUCGAUACGACAUGUCACCGCAUGUGGUGGUGGAAGGUUUACUGUUUGAUGGCUCACGCCUAUCAGCUGUGUGGGGUAUGCUCACCAAGCGACGACGGUAGCCGCUGAGAGGGUGACCGGCCACACUGGGACUGAGACACGGCCCAGACUCCUACGGGAGGCAGCAGUGGGGAAUAUUGCACAAUGGGCGGAAGCCUGAUGCAGCGACGCCGCGUGAGGGAUGACGGCCUUCGGGUUGUAAACCUCUUUCAGCACGGAAGAAGCGAAAGUGACGGUACGUGCAGAAGAAGCGCCGGCUAACUACGUGCCAGCAGCCGCGGUAAUACGUAGGGCGCAAGCGUUGUCCGGAAUUAUUGGGCGUAAAGAGCUCGUAGGCGGUUUGUCGCGUCUGCUGUGAAAGCCCGGGGCUUAACCCCGGGUGUGCAGUGGGUACGGGCAGACUUGAGUGCAGUAGGGGAGACUGGAAUUCCUGGUGUAGCGGUGAAAUGCGCAGAUAUCAGGAGGAACACCGAUGGCGAAGGCAGGUCUCUGGGCUGUUACUGACGCUGAGGAGCGAAAGCAUGGGGAGCGAACAGGAUUAGAUACCCUGGUAGUCCAUGCCGUAAACGUUGGGCACUAGGUGUGGGGAACAUUCCACGUUUUCCGCGCCGUAGCUAACGCAUUAAGUGCCCCGCCUGGGGAGUACGGCCGCAAGGCUAAAACUCAAAGGAAUUGACGGGGGCCCGCACAAGCGGCGGAGCAUGCGGAUUAAUUCGAUGCAACGCGAAGAACCUUACCAAGGCUUGACAUACACCGGACCGGGCCAGAGAUGGUCUUUCCCCCUUGUGGGGCUGGUGUACAGGUGGUGCAUGCUGUCGUCAGCUCGUGUCGUGAGAUGUUGGGUUAAGUCCCGCACGAGCGCAACCCUCGUUCUAUGUUGCCAGCACGUGAUGGUGGGGACUCAUAGAGACUGCCGGGGUCAACUCGAAGAGGUGCGGAUGACGUCAAAUCAUCAUGCCCCUUAUGUCUUGGGCUUCACGCAUGCUACAAUGCCAGUACAAUGACUGGCGAUGCCGCGAGGGGAGCGAAUCCCAAAAAGCCAACCCCAGUUCGGAUCGUGGUCUGCAACUCGACCACGUGAAGUCGGAGUCGCUAGUAAUCGCAGAUCAGCAACGCU
Molecule: ribosomal RNA, 1156 nt
Filed under: Kocuria rhizophila
Lineage: Bacteria; Bacillati; Actinomycetota; Actinomycetes; Micrococcales; Micrococcaceae
Description: bacterial SSU rRNA
Rfam family: Bacterial small subunit ribosomal RNA
Source: RNAcentral